GAGGAAUAUUGGACAAUGGGCGGGAGCCUGAUCCAGCCAUGCCGCGUGCAGGAAGACGGUCCUAUGGAUUGUAAACUGCUUUUAUACGGGAAGAACAAAGGGCACGUGUGCCCCUCUGACGGUACCGUAAGAA
RNAcentral lists this ribosomal RNA (133 nucleotides) under uncultured bacterium. Its description in RNAcentral is "partial 16S ribosomal RNA". It matches the Rfam family "Bacterial small subunit ribosomal RNA", at positions 356 to 486 of the family's 1533-position model. The record is from RNAcentral.